CUGGGGCAUACACCUCCCGUAGCUUUACUCUAAAACCACUAGGUUUUCAGUCUCUUCAGUAGGAUCUAUUAUAAGAAGACUGGCCCAUGGGUAUGAAGGUGAAGUGCAUGGCAAUGGAUAGAGGAACCAUCCUUGCUGUGUUUGCCUGGCAGGCUCCCAUCUCAUAUGGGGUCAGAGUCACUGGCUUAAUAUAUUACCCAUGCUGGCCCAAUCACAUUGCGAUGGGAGAUGUCUGGGGUAUACACAACCCAUCUCAGGGUGGUUUUUGGUUGGCUUGGCAAGGGGGACACCAGACCUUUCCUUUCAUAUUCCUUUGACCUUUUUGUCUCGAAAAUAUCUGUUCAGUUUUCCAAAAUAAAAUGUACAAGCACACACCUCCUUUCUUUAUGAUUCCCAGGCUUUAUUUUAUCUGUCCAUGUUAAUAAAACAUAUUUCAAAGAGUAACAUGGAACUGUUGUGGAAAAUCUACAACUGAAACUGGGAACUCUGAAUAAUCAUCCAACUUGGAAAUCUAAGUCAGAAACUCAGGCAAUAUGCCAGAGAUUCGCCUUCAUGACCUUAAGAUUCUUGAUGCCGAAAUGUAACACUGUUCUUUCCAUGCCUCAUUCUGAAUAAGUAAGAACUGGGAAAAGAACAAUGUCAGUAAUCUUCAGGUUGGAAAGUUGAGAUGUUGCCCGAGUUGGAUGAUCUUUCUGAUCCAUCACCCCCAACCCCAUUUUUCAGUUCCCAAAAGUACUAAUGUCAUAGUUC
Esox lucius (northern pike) is the source of this 750-nucleotide long non-coding RNA. RefSeq lists it as uncharacterized. The transcript is spliced from 3 exons. The record is from RefSeq and is a predicted model, not a curated record. NCBI's taxonomy places the organism in Eukaryota, Metazoa, Chordata, Actinopteri, Esociformes, Esocidae.